ACGCGCCUGGCCGAGGAACGCCGGCUGCGGCUCGCGGCCGCGGUCGAGCGGGUGCUCGGGGCCCUGCGCGGGUC
Molecule: transfer RNA, 74 nt
Filed under: Enhygromyxa salina
Lineage: Bacteria; Pseudomonadati; Myxococcota; Nannocystales; Nannocystaceae
Description: tRNA-Ala
Source: RNAcentral